This 253-nucleotide ribosomal RNA is filed under the name uncultured bacterium. Its description in RNAcentral is "partial 16S ribosomal RNA". It matches the Rfam family "Bacterial small subunit ribosomal RNA", at positions 524 to 776 of the family's 1533-position model. The record is from RNAcentral.
UACGUAGGGCGCAAGCGUUGUCCGGAAUUAUUGGGCGUAAAGCGCACGUAGGCGGCUUUGCAAGUCGGAUGUGAAAUCCCUCGGCUUAACCAAGGAAGUGCAUCCGAAACUGCAGAGCUUGAGUACUUAAGAGGAUCGCGGAAUUCCCGGUGUAGAGGUGAAAUUCGUAGAUAUCGGGAGGAACACCAGUGGCGAAGGCGGCGAUCUGGGAAGAUACUGACGCUGAGGUGCGAAAGCGUGGGGAGCAAACAGG